This 1497-nucleotide long non-coding RNA is filed under the name Ursus maritimus (polar bear). Its description in RNAcentral is "lncRNA (ENSUMAG00000015536.1)". The record is from RNAcentral. Lineage: Eukaryota; Metazoa; Chordata; Mammalia; Carnivora; Ursidae.
CCACCCUGCCUCCCCUCCAGCAACCCUGUUUCUUUCCUGUACUUAAGAGUCUCUUAGGGUCUGCCUCCCUCUCUGUUUUCAUCUUUUUUUUUCCUUCCCUUCCCCUAUGUUCAUCUGUUUUUUUCUUCCACAUAUGAGUGAAAUCGUGGUAUUUGUCCUUCUCUGACUGACUUAUUUCGCUUAGCAGAAUACCCUCUAGUUCCAUUCAUGUCAUUGCAAAUGGCAGGAGUUCAUUCUUUUUGAUGGCUGAGUAAUAUUCCAUUGUGUGUAUAUGCCACAUCUUCUUUAUCCAUUCAUCUGCCAGUGGACAUCUAGGCUCUUUCCAUAGUUUGGCUAUUGUGGACUUGCUGCUAUUAACAUUGGGGUGCAGGUGCCCCUUCAGAUCACUGUGUUUGUAUCCUUUGGAGAAAUACCUAGUAGUGCAGUUGCUGGGUUGUAGGGUGGCUUUAGUUUUAAAUGGUUCAGGAAGAAUUUGUAUGAUAAUCAGGGGUAAGGAAAGUAACAUUUUGGGACUACCUAUUAAAUCUCUCAUAAUCCUCACCCCAUGAGAAAAUGUAGGCUAGUAAAUGGCAGAACUGAAACUUGAAUCUACAUUUGAAUGAUUCCAAAACCUGUGUUCUUUGUGUAACGGUGCUCAUUUGAUAAUAGUGAAUAUUAUGAUUAUUUUACCAAAUGUGAUACUUGUAAUCCUUAAAAGUAUUAAUUUUUUUUCUAGAAUGUCCCCAAACCAAGCUUAAGAAAGCUAAUGGCUGCUUGUGAGAAAUUCAAGAACUUGGAAACAAAAUGUGGCCUUAUGACAGUAGGCGAUAACCUUUCACUUACGGACGAUAAUUCUGAUCAUAAAGAUGAAGAUACAAAAGUGUAUGACCUUUUUUGUCCUGCUAUUCCGUCACCUAGCACUCUUAAAAAACCUCUCGGGCCAUUAGAAGGCCUUGGUGUUACAAAGGUAAGUUGUUUUGUUUUAAAUUUUUUUCCCCUAUGCUUUUUUUUCACAUACAUCCUCUUGAUCCUUAUAAUGAAAAGAUCUUAGGAAGAAAUGGAAGUCCUCAAGAUCAUAAGAGAACAUAGUGUAAUAACAACAGGGAGAUAAGUACCGGAUUGAGAUUUAUAAGGGUUGGUGGGAGUAAACAAUUCUUAGGUAUGCCAGUAUGGAAGUAAAGAAUUAGAAAGCAACUGGAAAGAACAGCUAGAUGGAUGUGAAGAUGAGGGAGGGGGUGGGGGGAAGAAUUCAUUUAAGAAGGGCAAGAUGAAUGUAAAGAUUGAAGAGUUGAGAGAGAUUAUUACAAAAACAUAACUGCAGUAGUGGGGCUAAGGGAGAGCAGAUAGUCUGGAUUAUAAAAUAUGGUAGAGAUUAUUUUAAGUGCAAACUUAAAAAACAAAGUCAGGUAAUACAAAUGCUUAGACUCUUCUGAAUGACUUACAGCUGAUUUUUAUGAAGAACUGGAAGAAAAUUUUAUCCUUUUAACUUUAAUAAAGUGUGAUAUAUUUAAUUUAGCA